CUGCUGGAAGGAACACCGAAGAAGGAAG
Molecule: non-coding RNA, 28 nt
Filed under: Cricetulus griseus (Chinese hamster)
Lineage: Eukaryota; Metazoa; Chordata; Mammalia; Rodentia; Cricetidae
Source: RNAcentral